GCCCGGAUGGCGGAACAGGUAGACGCGCAGGACUUAAAAUCCUGUAACCAGUAAUGGUUGUGCGGGUUCAAUUCCCGCUCCGGGUA
This 86-nucleotide transfer RNA is filed under the name Bacteroidota bacterium. RNAcentral describes it as "Bacteroidetes bacterium (hot springs metagenome) tRNA-Leu". It matches the Rfam family "tRNA". Rfam says of the family: Transfer RNA (tRNA) molecules are approximately 80 nucleotides in length. Their secondary structure includes four short double-helical elements and three loops (D, anti-codon, and T loops). Further hydrogen bonds mediate the characteristic L-shaped molecular structure. tRNAs have two regions of fundamental functional importance: the anti-codon, which is responsible for specific mRNA codon recognition, and the 3' end, to which the tRNAs corresponding amino acid is attached (by aminoacyl-tRNA synthetases). tRNAs cope with the degeneracy of the genetic code in two manners: having more than one tRNA (with a specific anti-codon) for a particular amino acid; and 'wobble' base-pairing, i.e. permitting non-standard base-pairing at the 3rd anti-codon position. RNAcentral also lists the same sequence under 2 other names. The record is from RNAcentral. Lineage: Bacteria; Pseudomonadati; Bacteroidota.